GGAGACGGUCCCGGCGGUGGAGGUCCUGGAGGAGACGGUCCCGGCGGUGGAGGUCCAGGCGGUUGGCCCGGUGGAGGUCCUGGAGGAGGCUGGGGGAUCCGGCGGUGUUUAGCUCCUCAUCCAUGGAAGCAGGGUUGAAGGAGUCACUGGGGAUGAAGAUCACUGCUCAGGGGCUGACGCCCCCCCCCCCCUCAUCUUUCCGGAGAAGCGUCCUCAUGGUGCAGGCGGUCAAGCAGCUGGAUGACUGACUGGUUCUUUAUGUCCCGGAGCAGAGGACGGACCGAAGGCCUACAGCGCAGCAGACUAGAGACUCUGUGGAACCGGUUCAAUUAAGUUGACCUCUCCUUCAGGCGACUUAAAGGAGACCAUAUGUGCGGCAGCUGGGUGUCAUGGUGCAGAGACCCAACGCUGUACUGAACUACACCAGCGUGUCCUACUCCCAUAAACCCUGAGGAUCCCUGGCUACACCAGCACUUUAAUCCACACCCAACAUCAACACAGUGCACACUCUAUAGAGCUUGUAAGAUAUGACUAGGUUUCAAUGGAGAGAAAGUCAUAAUUUUCUCUUAUGUUGCACCACAUUUUGGGGGAAGAAUGUUUGAAUCAAUCUUUGUCAUUUAUUUCUGUACUCCACGUCUGUAAUCCCAGCUGUUGUAUUUUAACACGGUAGCUGGAACCCUCUUUAUAGGGAGCGACUAGAGGGACAAGGCUGGGAGCAAACCUGAGCCUUGAUCUUAACCUUCUUUCUAAACCUAAUGCCGCAAUUUAACUGCAAAUAAAGUGAGGCCUAAAGUAACUUGACUCUCUUGCCUAAACUUGCUUGCCUAAACUCGCUUGUCUAAACUCGCUUGCAUAAAACCUAAACUCGCUUGCAUAAAACCUAAACUCGCUUGCAUAAAACCUGAACUUCCUUGGCUAAACUCGCGUCGCUUGCCUAAUACCUGAACUUGCUCGCCUAAACUCGCUUGCCUAAUACCUGAACUCGCUUGCAUAAAACCUAACUUGCUUAGCUUGACUCGUUGCCUGUACUCGCUUGGCUAAACUCGCUUGCCUAAUACCUGAAGUCGCUUGCAUAAAACCUAAACUUGCUUUGCUUGACUCGCUUGCCUGUACUCGCUUGGCUAAACUCGCUUGCCUAAUACCUGAAGUCGCUUGCCUGAAGUCGCUUGCCUAAUACCUGAAGUCGCUUGCCUAAUACCUGAAGUCGCUUGCCUAAUACCUGAAGUCGCUUGCCUAAACUCACUUGCCUAAAACCUAAACUUGCUUGUCCAAACACGUUACACAAAGUUAACCAUCCAUAAUCUUUAACCCAAACCAGACUUGUCCCUGGGUCGCUCCACUUUAAUUUAGAAGUUUCUUCUUUUACCUCAUCUGCGUUUUGAGUUUCAUUCUUUGAGGGCUUGAAGUGCUUUGGAGGAUAUUCAAACCUUUGUUUGCCGCAUUUGUUCGCCAAAUGUUCAGUGUCCUUGCAUGUAAUGUCUAUGGUCUGACGAUAAUCUGACCUCUUCAUGAAGCAGAAUGUGUGAAUGUUGUCCCGUGAGCUCCAGGCUCUCUGUGGGCCUGUCAACGUCUAUUUAGCAAAAGGUUGGAGUGAAAUUCAUUUUUGUGCCAUUUUCAUGUGUUCCUGAGUAUUUCAGACCUGUGGUGUUUCACAUGAGACCUUAAUGGGAACUUUUCUUUUUCUGCCUGCAUACGUAAUGCCUACAUUAGUAGGGUGAUCACUGUUGAUCCCAAUAAUGAUCAUUAACCACCUCAUUCUUUUAUGAUUUUUUUCGAUAAGGAUUACAAAUCAUGUAAUUUAUGAGCAUAUUUGCAAAUCGCUCCAAAUAUCAGAUUGUGUAAAAACUGACGAAAUGUAACCUGCUUGAUUUAAAGAAAAUAAAACAUCCAAAUAUUAUAAA
Gadus morhua (Atlantic cod) is the source of this 1901-nucleotide long non-coding RNA. RefSeq lists it as uncharacterized. The record is from RefSeq and is a predicted model, not a curated record. Lineage: Eukaryota; Metazoa; Chordata; Actinopteri; Gadiformes; Gadidae. The transcript has 7 exons.